UGUGGUGAUUCUGCGAGGGGGUCCCACCUCUUCCCAUUCCGAACAGAGCAGUUAAGCCCCUCAGCGCCGAUGGUACUGGUCUAAAGCCGGGAGAGUAGGUCAUCGCCACAC
RNAcentral lists this ribosomal RNA (111 nucleotides) under Gammaproteobacteria bacterium. The record is from RNAcentral. RNAcentral also lists the same sequence under 2 other names. Lineage: Bacteria; Pseudomonadati; Pseudomonadota; Gammaproteobacteria.